Molecule: ribosomal RNA, 695 nt
Filed under: Lacticaseibacillus rhamnosus
Lineage: Bacteria; Bacillati; Bacillota; Bacilli; Lactobacillales; Lactobacillaceae
Description: bacterial SSU rRNA
Rfam family: Bacterial small subunit ribosomal RNA
Source: RNAcentral
AUGGACGCAAGUCUGAUGGAGCAACGCCGCGUGAGUGAAGAAGGCUUUCGGGUCGUAAAACUCUGUUGUUGGAGAAGAAUGGUCGGCAGAGUAACUGUUGUCGGCGUGACGGUAUCCAACCAGAAAGCCACGGCUAACUACGUGCCAGCAGCCGCGGUAAUACGUAGGUGGCAAGCGUUAUCCGGAUUUAUUGGGCGUAAAGCGAGCGCAGGCGGUUUUUUAAGUCUGAUGUGAAAGCCCUCGGCUUAACCGAGGAAGUGCAUCGGAAACUGGGAAACUUGAGUGCAGAAGAGGACAGUGGAACUCCAUGUGUAGCGGUGAAAUGCGUAGAUAUAUGGAAGAACACCAGUGGCGAAGGCGGCUGUCUGGUCUGUAACUGACGCUGAGGCUCGAAAGCAUGGGUAGCGAACAGGAUUAGAUACCCUGGUAGUCCAUGCCGUAAACGAUGAAUGCUAGGUGUUGGAGGGUUUCCGCCCUUCAGUGCCGCAGCUAACGCAUUAAGCAUUCCGCCUGGGGAGUACGACCGCAAGGUUGAAACUCAAAGGAAUUGACGGGGGCCCGCACAAGCGGUGGAGCAUGUGGUUUAAUUCGAAGCAACGCGGAGAACCUUACCAGGUCUUGACAUCUUUUGAUCACCUGAGAGAUCAGGUUUCCCCUUCGGGGGCAAAUGACAGGUGGUGCAUGGUUGUCGUCAG